AUAUAUUAUGUGAAAAUGUUGAAUCCAAAGCUUAAUUCCGUUUUGCCUACGAGUGAGCAGGGGAGCUAACGCGGUGUGGUUGCGCAGGGCGUGGCGGACGCGCGCUGGGCCGACUGGCGCGCGCACGCCGCCGUGCUGCUCGCCAACCCCGCGCACGCGCCGCACGACCGCCGCACGCUCACGCAGCUCGGCGACUCGCUAGCGUCCCGCGGGCUGAUAUUCUCGGCGCAGUUCUGCUACCUGACCGCGGGGGUCUCGUUCGAGGCGCACCCGCUGGCGCCGCUGGGCGAGUCCCGCGGCGGGGCGGCGCCGCGCCUGUCGCUGCUGCUGGCGGACGGCAAGGCGCCCACGCUGGGGCGCUUCGCCACCGACACGGCGAUAUUCGCCACCGAGAUAUACGAGUACGCCGUGUCGCUCAACCAGGAGUACGUCAUCCACGACUUGCAAGUGUACAAGCUGGUGGCGGCGGCGCGGCUGGCGGCGGCGGGCGAGUGCGAGCGCGCGCUGCG
Zerene cesonia (dogface butterfly) is the source of this 509-nucleotide long non-coding RNA. RefSeq lists it as uncharacterized. The record is from RefSeq and is a predicted model, not a curated record. The transcript is spliced from 3 exons. NCBI's taxonomy places the organism in Eukaryota, Metazoa, Arthropoda, Insecta, Lepidoptera, Pieridae.